Molecule: ribosomal RNA, 1879 nt
Filed under: invertebrate metagenome
Description: bacterial LSU rRNA
Rfam family: Bacterial large subunit ribosomal RNA
Source: RNAcentral
CCAAACAACCAGGAGGUUGGCUUAGAAGCAGCCAUCCUUUAAAGAAAGCGUAACAGCUCACUGGUCGAGUGGUAUUGCGCCUACAAUGUAACGGGGCUUAAGUCUGAUACCGAAGCUGCGGGGCGAAUAUGAACUUCGGUUCAUAAUCGUUGGUAGGGGAGCGUUCUGUUAGGAACGAAGCUGGAUCGUGAGGAACAGUGGACUUAACAGAAGUGAUUAUGCCGGCAUGAGUAGCGAAAAAAUGGGCGAGAAACCCAUUCGCCGAAAACCCAAGGUUUCCUGAGGAAGGUUAAUCCGCUCAGGGUAAGUCGGCCCCUAAGUCGAGGCCGAAAGGCGUAGACGAUGGGAAACGGGUUAAAAUUCCCGUACCACCUAAUAAGUGUUAUAAAACGUGGGGUAACGCAGAAGGAUAGGCCAGCCGGCGAUUGGAUGUGCCGGUUCAAAUCUGUAGGAGGGUUGCUUAGGUAAAUCCGGGCGACUAUUAAACUCUGAGGGAUGAUGUGGAGACCGAAAGGUUAUAAACUGGUUGAUUCCAUGCUGCCAAGAAAAACCUCGGGCGUAAAUUUAUUGGGUGACCGUACCGUAAUCCAACACAGGUAGGUGAGGAGAGUAUCCUAAGGCGCUUGAGUGAAACCACAUUAAGGAAUUCGGCAAAUUUGCCCCGUAAUUUCGAGAGAAGGGGUGCCCUCAUUAGGUGAAGCAAUUCGCUUGUGGAGCCGAAGGGGGUUGCAGUGAAAUGGCCCAGGCGACUGUUUAGUAAAAACACAGGUCUCUGCUAAGUCGUAAGACGAUGUAUAGGGACUGACACCUGCCCGGUGCCGGAAGGUUAAGGGGAGGGGUUAGCAGCAAUGCGAAGCUCUGAACCGAAGCCCCGGUAAACGGCGGCCGUAACUAUAACGGUCCUAAGGUAGCGAAAUUCCUUGUCGGGUAAGUUCCGACCUGCACGAAUGGUGUAACGAUCUGGGCGCUGUCUCAAUGAGGAACUCAGCGAAAUUGUAAUGGCUGUGCAGAUGCAGUCUACCCGCGACAAGACGGAAAGACCCCGUGCACCUUUACUAUAGCUUGACAUUGGAUUUUGGAUUAGCAUGUGCAGGAUAGGUGGGAGGCUUUGAAGCUGAGGCGUUAGCCUUGGUGGAGCCAAACUUGAGAUACCACCCUUGUUGGUUUGGAGUUCUAACCCAUUCCCGUGAAUCCGGGGUGGGAACAGUGUCUGGUGGGUAGUUUGACUGGGGCGGUCGCCUCCUAAAAAGUAGCGGAGGCGCCCUAAGGUUCCCUCAGCACGGACGGCAAUCGUGCAUAGAGUGUAAAGGCAUAAGGGAGCUUGACUGCGAGACCGACAGGUCGAGCAGGUACGAAAGUAGGGCUUAGUGAUCCGGUGGUCCUGUGUGGAAAGGCCAUCGCUCAACGGAUAAAAGGUACGCCGGGGAUAACAGGCUUAUCUUGCCCAAGAGUUCAUAUCGACGGCAAGGUUUGGCACCUCGAUGUCGGCCCGUCGCAUCCUGGGGCUGAAGCAGGUCCCAAGGGUUUGGCUGUUCGCCAAUUAAAGCGGUACGCGAGCUGGGUUUAGAACGUCGUGAGACAGUUCGGUCCCUAUCUGUCGUGGGUGUAGGAUAUUUGAGAGGAGCUGUUCCUAGUACGAGAGGACCGGAAUGGACGAACCUCUGGUGUGCCGGUUGUUCUGCCAAGAGCAUCGCCGGGUAGCUACGUUCGGUCGGGAUAACCGCUGAAAGCAUAUAAGCGGGAAGCCCACCUCAAGAUUGGAUAUCCCGUGGUGUUAUACCACCUAAAGGCUUCUUGAAGACUACGAGAUCGAUAGGCCGGAUGUGUAAGUACAGCAAUGUAUUCAGCAAACCGGUACUAAUAAGCCGUGCGGCUUAAU